Molecule: ribosomal RNA, 301 nt
Filed under: uncultured bacterium
Lineage: Bacteria
Description: partial 16S ribosomal RNA
Rfam family: Bacterial small subunit ribosomal RNA
Source: RNAcentral
CAGUCGCCACGGUAAUACGGAGGGUGCAAGCGUUAAUCGGAUUUACUGGGCGUAAAGCGUGCGUAGGCGGCUUUUUAAGUCGGAUGUGAAAUCCCUGAGCUUAACUUAGGAAUUGCAUUCGAUACUGGGAAGCUAGAGUAUGGGAGAGGAUGGUAGAAUUCCAGGUGUAGCGGUGAAAUGCGUAGAGAUCUGGAGGAAUACCGAUGGCGAAGGCAGCCAUCUGGCCUAAUACUGACGCUGAGGUACGAAAGCAUGGGGAGCAAACAGGAUUAGAUACCCCAGUAGUCCCUGUCUCUUAUAC